Molecule: ribosomal RNA, 1431 nt
Filed under: uncultured organism
Description: 16S ribosomal RNA
Rfam family: Bacterial small subunit ribosomal RNA
Source: RNAcentral
CUUAACACAUGCAAGUCGAGGGGCAGCAUGGUCUUAGCUUGCUAAGGCCGAUGGCGACCGGCGCACGGGUGAGUAACACGUAUCCAACCUGCCGUCUACUCUUGGACAGCCUUCUGAAAGGAAGAUUAAUACAAGAUGGCAUCAUGAGUCCGCAUGUUCACAUGAUUAAAGGUAUUCCGGUAGACGAUGGGGAUGCGUUCCAUUAGAUAGUAGGCGGGGUAACGGCCCACCUAGUCUUCGAUGGAUAGGGGUUCUGAGAGGAAGGUCCCCCACAUUGGAACUGAGACACGGUCCAAACUCCUACGGGAGGCAGCAGUGAGGAAUAUUGGUCAAUGGGCGAGAGCCUGAACCAGCCAAGUAGCGUGAAGGAUGACUGCCCUAUGGGUUGUAAACUUCUUUUAUAAAGGAAUAAAGUCGGGUAUGCAUACCCGUUUGCAUGUACUUUAUGAAUAAGGAUCGGCUAACUCCGUGCCAGCAGCCGCGGUAAUACGGAGGAUCCGAGCGUUAUCCGGAUUUAUUGGGUUUAAAGGGAGCGUAGAUGGAUGUUUAAGUCAGUUGUGAAAGUUUGCGGCUCAACCGUAAAAUUGCAGUUGAUACUGGAUAUCUUGAGUGCAGUUGAGGCAGGCGGAAUUCGUGGUGUAGCGGUGAAAUGCUUAGAUAUCACGAAGAACUCCGAUUGCGAAGGCAGCCUGCUAAGCUGCAACUGACAUUGAGGCUCGAAAGUGUGGGUAUCAAACAGGAUUAGAUACCCUGGUAGUCCACACGGUAAACGAUGAAUACUCGCUGUUUGCGAUAUACAGCAAGCGGCCAAGCGAAAGCGUUAAGUAUUCCACCUGGGGAGUACGCCGGCAACGGUGAAACUCAAAGGAAUUGACGGGGGCCCGCACAAGCGGAGGAACAUGUGGUUUAAUUCGAUGAUACGCGAGGAACCUUACCCGGGCUUAAAUUGCAGAUGAAUUACGGUGAAAGCCGUAAGCCGCAAGGCAUCUGUGAAGGUGUUGCAUGGUUGUCGUCAGCUCGUGCCGUGAGGUGUCGGCUUAAGUGCCAUAACGAGCGCAACCCUUGUUGUCAGUUACUAACAGGUUCCGCUGAGGACUCUGACAAGACUGCCAUCGUAAGAUGUGAGGAAGGUGGGGAUGACGUCAAAUCAGCACGGCCCUUACGUCCGGGGCUACACACGUGUUACAAUGGGGGGGUACAGAGGGCCGCUACCACGCGAGUGGAUGCCAAUCCCAAAAACCUCUCUCAGUUCGGACUGGAGUCUGCAACCCGACUCCACGAAGCUGGAUUCGCUAGUAAUCGCGCAUCAGCCACGGCGCGGUGAAUACGUUCCCGGGCCUUGUACACACCGCCCGUCAAGCCAUGGGAGCCGGGGGUACCUGAAGUGCGUAACCGAGAGGAGCGCCCUAGGGUAAAACUGGUGACUGGGGC